RNAcentral lists this small RNA (26 nucleotides) under Bombyx mori (domestic silkworm). RNAcentral's name for it is "ovarian small RNA-35201". The record is from RNAcentral. Lineage: Eukaryota; Metazoa; Arthropoda; Insecta; Lepidoptera; Bombycidae.
UGGUUACCUAUGGCGAUUCGAAGUUC